AUUGAACGCUGGCGGAAUGCUUUACACAUGCAAGUCGAGCGGCAGCGCGGGGGCAACCCUGGCGGCGAGCGGCGAACGGGUGAGUAAUACAUCGGAACGUGUCCUUAAGUGGGGGAUAGCUCGGCGAAAGCCGGAUUAAUACCGCAUAAGCUCUGAGGAGGAAAGCGGGGGCUCCGUAAGGACCUCGCGCUGUUGGAGCGGCCGAUGUCGGAUUAGCUAGUUGGUGGGGUAAAGGCCCACCAAGGCGACGAUCCGUAGCUGGUCUGAGAGGAUGAUCAGCCACACUGGAACUGAGACACGGGUCCAGACUCCUACGGGAGGCAGCAGUGGGGAAUUUUGGACAAUGGGGCAACCCUGAUCCAGCCAUUCCGCGUGAGUGAAGAAGGCC
Molecule: ribosomal RNA, 388 nt
Filed under: uncultured bacterium
Lineage: Bacteria
Description: bacterial SSU rRNA
Rfam family: Bacterial small subunit ribosomal RNA
Source: RNAcentral